GGGUGGUAAUGCCGGAUGCUCCAGUUGAUCGCAUGGUCUUCUGGGAAAGCUUUCGCGGUAUGGGAUGGGGUCGCGUCCUAUCAGCUUGACGGCGGGGUAACGGCCCACCGUGGCUUCGACGGGUAGCCGGCCUGAGAGGGCGACCGGCCACAUUGGGACUGAGAUACGGCCCAGACUCCUACGGGAGGCAGCAGUGGGGAAUAUUGCACAAUGGGCGCAAGCCUGAUGCAGCGACGCCGCGUGAGGGAUGGAGGCCUUCGGGUUGUAAACCUCUUUUAUCGGGGAGCAAGCGUGAGUGAGUUUACCCGUUGAAUAAGCACCGGCUAACUACGUGCCAGCAGCCGCGGUAAUACGUAGGGUGCAAGCGUUAUCCGGAAUUAUUGGGCGUAAAGGGCUCGUAGGCGGUUCGUCGCGUCCGGUGUGAAAGUCCAUCGCUUAACGGUGGAUCCGCGCCGGGUACGGGCGGGCUUGAGUGCGGUAGGGGAGACUGGAAUUCCCGGUGUAACGGUGGAAUGUGUAGAUAUCG
This 526-nucleotide ribosomal RNA is filed under the name Bifidobacterium longum subsp. infantis. RNAcentral's name for it is "bacterial SSU rRNA". It matches the Rfam family "Bacterial small subunit ribosomal RNA", at positions 158 to 699 of the family's 1533-position model. The record is from RNAcentral. Lineage: Bacteria; Bacillati; Actinomycetota; Actinomycetes; Bifidobacteriales; Bifidobacteriaceae.